This 750-nucleotide ribosomal RNA is filed under the name uncultured bacterium. Its description in RNAcentral is "bacterial SSU rRNA". It matches the Rfam family "Bacterial small subunit ribosomal RNA", at positions 61 to 825 of the family's 1533-position model. The record is from RNAcentral.
GUCGAGCGAUGAAGUUUCUUCGGAAAUGGAUUAGCGGCGAACGGGUGAGGAACACGUGAAGAAUCUGCCCUCCACUUUGGGAUAACACCGGGAAACCGGUGCUAAUACCGAAUAUUGAAACAUAAGUGGCAUCACUGAGUUUUGAAAGAAUUUCGGUGGAGGAUGACUUCGCGGCCUAUCAGCUAGUUGGUGAGGUAAUGGCUCACCAAGGCAACGACGGGUAGCCGGCCUGAGAGGGCGACCGGCCACACUGGGACUGAGACACGGCCCAGACUCCUACGGGAGGCAGCAGUGGGGAAUAUUGGGCAAUGGAGGAAACUCUGACCCAGCGACGCCGCGUGCGGGAUGAAGGCCUUCGGGUUGUAAACCGCUUUCAGUAGGGAAGAAGCGAAAGUGACGGUACCUACAAAAGAAGCACCGGCUAACUAUGUGCCAGCAGCCGCGGUAAUACAUAGGGUGCAAGCGUUGUCCGGAAUUAUUGGGCGUAAAGAGCUCGUAGGUCGUUUGUUACGUCGGAUGUGAAAACCUGAGGCUCAACCUCAGGCCUGCAUUCGAUACGGGCAAACUAGAGUUUGGUAGGGGAGACUGGAAUUCCUGGUGUAGCGGUGGAAUGCGCAGAUAUCAGGAGGAACACCAAUGGCGAAGGCAGGUCUCUGGGCCAAUACUGACACUGAGGAGCGAAAGUCUGGGGAGCGAACAGGAUUAGAUACCCUGGUAGUCCAGACCGUAAACGGUGGGCACUAGUUGUGG